UACGAAGGGGGCUAGCGUUGCUCGGAAUGACUGGGCGUAAAGGGCGCGUAGGCGGAUGGCACAGUCAGAUGUGAAAUUCCCGGGCUUAACCUGGGGGCUGCAUUUGAUACGUGUGAUCUAGAGUGAGGAAGAGGGUCGUGGAAUUCCCGAGUGUAGAGGUGAAAUUCGUAGAUAUUGGGAAGAACACCGGUGGCGAGGGCGGCGACCUGGUCCUUGACUGACGCUGAGGC
RNAcentral lists this ribosomal RNA (230 nucleotides) under uncultured bacterium. Its description in RNAcentral is "partial 16S ribosomal RNA". It matches the Rfam family "Bacterial small subunit ribosomal RNA", at positions 524 to 752 of the family's 1533-position model. The record is from RNAcentral.